GAUCAUGGCUCAGGAUGAACGCUAGCUACAGGCUUAACACAUGCAAGUCGAGGGGCAGCAUUUCAGUUUGCUUGCAAACUGGAGAUGGCGACCGGCACACGGGUGAGUAACACGUAUCCAACCUGCCGAUAACUCGGGGAUAGCCUUUCGAAAGAAAGAUUAAUACCCGAUAGUAUAAUUAGACCGCAUGGUCUUAUUAUUAAAGAAUUUCGGUUAUCGAUGGGGAUGCGUUCCAUUAGGCAG
Molecule: ribosomal RNA, 243 nt
Filed under: uncultured bacterium
Lineage: Bacteria
Description: partial 16S ribosomal RNA
Rfam family: Bacterial small subunit ribosomal RNA
Source: RNAcentral